RNAcentral lists this ribosomal RNA (379 nucleotides) under uncultured bacterium. RNAcentral's name for it is "bacterial SSU rRNA". It matches the Rfam family "Bacterial small subunit ribosomal RNA", at positions 521 to 896 of the family's 1533-position model. The record is from RNAcentral.
UGACACGUAGGCACCAAGCGUUGUCCGGAUUUAUUGGGCGUAAAGAGCUCGUAGGCGGUUCGAUAAGUCGGGUGUGAAAACUUUGGGCUCAACCCAAAGCGUGCAUUCGAUACUGUUGUGACUAGAGUUCGGUAGGGGAGUGGGGAAUUCCUAGUGUAGCGGUGAAAUGCGCAGAUAUUAGGAGGAACACCGGUGGCGAAGGCGCCACUCUGGGCCGAAACUGACGCUGAGGAGCGAAAGCGUGGGUAGCAAACAGGAUUAGAUACCCUGGUAGUCCACGCCGUAAACGUUGGGCACUAGGUGUGGGUUCCAACCAACGGAAUCCGCGCCGUCGCAAACGCAUUAAGUGCCCCGCCUGGGGAGUACGGCCGCAAGGUUA